UUCGUCUUUGUCCGUUGAUCCAACUUGUUCGUAACAAUCAUCUUAAAAAGAAAGUCGCGUCACUAUUGAACCUGCUCCUGAAAUUCAAUUGACUUGCCGUUGUCCUCUGUACAUAAUUCACUGCUACGCCUUUGUAAGUAAUAUUUGAACGUGUAAGAGCAUCGUUAUCUUUGCAUCAUUAUGCGUAGCAUUGUUGGUAAUUUACUGAAAACAAAAAAUUAGCGCAUUGCGUGGUAGCUACAGUUUUUACUCCGUAGUAUCAGUGGGUGUGCUAAAUUUAAGUAUUAUUUGGUAAAUGAUCCAUUCGUUUUGUUUCAAUAGUUAUUUCGUCGUUUCUAUUUUAAUUUCACGAACAACAAUUCUAACUGGACCGUGAAAUUUCUAUUUUUGAGACAAACAAGAUGAUAUUGUUUUGUUCUUUACAUAUUUAUUAAAUAUUAUAAAGUAUACUGCUUCGCUCAGAUAUUUAUAACUCUUGUUAUAUAGAUUUGUUUACAUCACCUCCUGUUAAGAACUUUCAUUAUGCUCCAUUUUUCCUUCAAGAAGCUGUAAAUUUCCUUUCGGUCGCAGACUCUUACUAAUUGCAAUUGUUUGCGCACGAUUAAUGCGCGCUAUAAAUAUUCCGCAAUAAAUUCAACGGUAUCCUUAGCGUAGAUCAAGUGUGAAAUUUAACUUGUUAAAAUUAAUGAAAUAUUGCUCAAUGAGAUAGUGAGGGGUGGGUCACAUCGUAUAUGUAUAUUGACUUGGCAUAUUUUACACAUACUGACUAAAUAUACGCCAAUGUAAACAGCAACGUAUCGUGAGUCAUGCGAUAAGAAGAAGCAUGUAUGUGUAGUUAAAAAACGUUUAUGCGUAUUCUAGUUGUCGUCGUUGUUUAACGGAUUGUGCAACAAGAAUUACAAUUUUCCGUGUCAAGUAUGACUAAGUGACGGAAACAGUAGCUCGCAUUUUUUUGUUUCUAUUCAUUUCCAAUUCGAAUUACUAAUAAUAAUUUUUUAUAGACACCUUUAGUUCCAAUGUUUCAACAUUGCACAAUUGCACGCAUUGGUGGAUAUUUAAGUACAUUUCGAUACGGUACAAAACGUGUAUAUUAUUUAGAACUUAAAUAACAUAUGAAACGAGUCUAUUUGUGUCAGCGUUGUUAUACGCUUGAAGUUUUCCUAGUUACAGUAGUGCAAGUAGAAUACUAGAGCAUCUAUAGCCGGCAAUCAUUAAUUAAUACUUCUGGGCACGUAAGCUCAUUGCAUUUAUAAGCCUUGUAAUUCGAUACAGUACAAUUUAAUUACAAUGAAAUUAUGAAGAUAAUUCAUUUUGCAUGUUAAUCUGAGCAGUCAUGCUUAUAGUUAAGCUUUCCGAGAAGUAAUGUGAAAGCGAAUCAUUGGCUAUCAGGGAAUUCCGAUUAGUGACUGUAUAUUUCUUAAUGCACUUUAAAAAAGAGAGAGUCAGAGGCAGAAUGAGAGUAUUGUUCCUUGCAUAUUUCGGUUGGCCCGCUAAGGAUCAUGUCAGUCUUCGAAACGUGUUUCCAGUCAGCUAUUGGAAAAUGUGGAACAGACAGUUACUAAAAGACGGUUAGCGCUUUAAUGAAUUCAACCGUUGACUGGCUUUGUGCUCGCAAAACAGGAUUAGGAAGACAGGAAUCAGGGGAUGAGGUAGUAAAGAAGUCUGAAAGGACGUUCCAGCGUCUAACCGUUUCGGCGACGCGACGACGACGCACGGCUAGGAUAUUGGUUCAGAGUAGUUUGUACACUAUACUCUGCGACGAAACUGCGUCAUUUCUCCAGGGUCAGAGGGGAACUGGUUGUAAUUCUGCUCUAAAUUCCUCGUUUUACUCAAGGUUCGGCCACGCCAUGGUGUCCUUGGUAGUUUUAUGACUCGUUAAGAGCACACUUCUAUAUUUCAUUUUAAACUUAAGUACCGCAACACACACGUAAAUGUCCUUCAACGUGAAAAAGAUCUGUCUCUUUUUCCUCGGUACUUUUUGUACGUCUGCCUGAUGUUGUUUGCGAUAUAUUAACUUCACAGUCUAAAGCUUUAUCUUUCAUGUACGUAAUUAUGAUUUCUUAUAAUACUUUUGGAAAAUGAUAUCUUUCACGUUUCCUGUUUCGAUAUAAGUCCGAUAGGCUUUAGAAAUAUAAUAGGUUUAAACAUUAAGAAAGAUCGUGUUGAUAUAACGAUAGAUCUAGGCAAACAAUUAUUAUAGAAUGGAACGUUCCGCGUGCAACGUUUUAUUGUAGCCUGUGAUAUCUCCACCUUUAACGGAAAGAAUCGUAUCGGGUUUCCCGCGUUGUGAGUCAACGUCAUUAAGAAUUUACGCGUACUUGGACUCUCAGCGUAAGUACGCUCGUGUGAAAUUAAACUCCUACCGCAAUUGAAUUCGACGUUUAUGUGGUGUACGUGACGCAUAUGAUACCAAGCUCUCUCGCAAUUUAUACGUCACCCUUAUCCGACGAUUUGUACAUACGAAAGUUCUCCCAAUCUUAAGACGUUCACACAUAUUCGGGUCGUGUUCCAUUUUAUUUUAACAAUUUUUUAUACUCAGUUUAUAUUUAGAUUUAGUUUUUGCCAUGAACAAUGCUAAACAGUUUAAGAUAGUUAUCCCAUUUUCAGAUGGAUGCUUUUACGUAACGCGGUAAUUUUCGACCGCGUACCAGGAAAAUCAAUUGCGUCACACGCGAAUCGUAAUUGCAUCAUCAUCGGAAUGUUUCCUUUUCUACUUCAACCUACUAUGUAGGAUACAAUGUCACCGGUGGAUAGAAUGCAGUAGUAAUAAUAUUUAGUAAUUCGGUACGAUAGAACGGCGAAAUUUUGAUCCUAGCUAUAAUUGGCACAUGGAACAGAUAUAUCAGAGCGGCCAAGGUCAUGACUAAGAAACACACACUAAGACACACUACAGUACGACAGAGGAUGUGCGUCGCUGCUUCUAAAUUCUUUCCUUGAUUAAAUAUCAACGUUAAUAUAAUGUGUGAAAAGUAGGUAAAGGAGAGAGAAAUCAGAUGAUUGAUCGUUAGAUAUAGAUUGAACUGUUUGCUCUUCGUGCAUCGAACAAACGCUGCAUCUAAUUAUCUUGUUUAAAAUUCCGUUGUUAUAUCCUUUGUGAUGCUGAUUAUCAUGUACGAUACAUUGUACAGAUAAUUCUGUGAAAUACGCCUUAUAGUUUUAUGCAAUUUCGUAAUCAACUGAUUGGUAAUCAUCAAACGAGGGACUCGUCGCCACACAAUUCGUAUGUCUUCGUCAUUUUCGACUGAAAAGACAAGGACACCAUCGUGCGUUAAAAUACUAUUUGUGUGCACCACGCGUAAGAAAUAGAAUGGUUGGAAAAGAUAGUGGUAACUAGAUAGUAUCUGAAAGAUAAGAACACGUUUUCCGCACUUGAAUCGAUUUCGAAUAUAUCUUGUAGAUUCGUAUCAGCUGAGUAAGAAAGUCGACACGGUUCUGCUUCUAGAAAUAGCGAUUGGAACAUACUAAUUUCCAGUACUUUACUAUUCUUUUGAAGGUGGGAUUAUUCGUUCUUCUUCGAUUAUUUUUCGAUCAGAUUCAAUAACGCGUAUACAAAACUUCUGAAGAAAGAGAAGAGAAUAAUGUUUUCAGAGAAACAUUAUUUGCUUUGCCGAAUAUCUUUCAAGGCUUUUUCUAAAGUCGUGAAUCUUUUUAUACUUUUAGUGAAACGAGAUUUUCCUAACGUUGUUAGAGAUUCAGAUAAUUUUAGGCCUCUUUUUAGAGAUUGAAGAAAUAAAAUUCGAAUUUGUUGUU
This is a long non-coding RNA of Ceratina calcarata, 3750 nucleotides long. RefSeq lists it as uncharacterized. The transcript is spliced from 2 exons. The record is from RefSeq and is a predicted model, not a curated record. NCBI's taxonomy places the organism in Eukaryota, Metazoa, Arthropoda, Insecta, Hymenoptera, Apidae.